Molecule: ribosomal RNA, 608 nt
Filed under: Nocardioides sp.
Lineage: Bacteria; Bacillati; Actinomycetota; Actinomycetes; Propionibacteriales; Nocardioidaceae
Description: bacterial SSU rRNA
Rfam family: Bacterial small subunit ribosomal RNA
Source: RNAcentral
UCUGCCCUUGGCUCUGGGAUAGCCACCGGAAACGGUGAUUAAUACCGGAUAUGACACUUCACCGCAUGGUGUGGGUGUGGAAAGUUUUUCGGCCAGGGAUGUGCUCGCGGCCUAUCAGCUUGUUGGUGGGGUAAUGGCCUACCAAGGCUUCGACGGGUAGCCGGCCUGAGAGGGUGACCGGCCACACUGGGACUGAGACACGGCCCAGACUCCUACGGGAGGCAGCAGUGGGGAAUAUUGGACAAUGGGCGGAAGCCUGAUCCAGCAACGCCGCGUGAGGGAUGACGGCCUUCGGGUUGUAAACCUCUUUCAGCACAGACGAAGCGCAAGUGACGGUAUGUGCAGAAGAAGGACCGGCCAACUACGUGCCAGCAGCCGCGGUAAUACGUAGGGUCCGAGCGUUGUCCGGAAUUAUUGGGCGUAAAGGGCUCGUAGGCGGUUUGUCGCGUCGGGAGUGAAAACCAGGUGCUUAACACCUGGCCUGCUUUCGAUACGGGCAGACUAGAGGCAUUCAGGGGAGAACGGAAUUCCUGGUGUAGCGGUGAAAUGCGCAGAUAUCAGGAGGAACACCGGUGGCGAAGGCGGUUCUCUGGGAAUGUCCUGACGCU